Molecule: ribosomal RNA, 458 nt
Filed under: uncultured Acetivibrio sp.
Lineage: Bacteria; Bacillati; Bacillota; Clostridia; Acetivibrionales; Acetivibrionaceae
Description: bacterial SSU rRNA
Rfam family: Bacterial small subunit ribosomal RNA
Source: RNAcentral
AGAGUUUGAUCAUGGCUCAGGAUGAACGCUGGCGGCGUGCCUAACACAUGCAAGUCGAGCGGAGAAUAUAGUAAUAUAUUCUUAGCGGCGGACGGGUGAGUAACGCGUGGGCAACCUACCUCAUACUGGGGGAUAACACUGGGAAACUAGUGCUAAUACCGCAUAACGUCAUUGGAUGGCAUCAUCCGAUGACCAAAGGAGUAAUCCGGUGAGAGAUGGGCCCGCGUCCGAUUAGCUAGUUGGUGAGGUAAUGGCCCACCAAGGCGACGAUCGGUAGCCGAACUGAGAGGUUGAUCGGCCACAUUGGGACUGAGACACGGCCCAGACUCCUACGGGAGGCAGCAGUGGGGAAUAUUGCACAAUGGGGGAAACCCUGAUGCAGCAACGCCGCGUGAAGGAUGAAGGUCUUUGGAUUGUAAACUUCUUUGAUUGGGGACGAAUUAAUGACGGUACCCAAA